GAGCUGCAAAGAGCAGAAGCUGCAGAAGUCAAUGAAGAAGACAAAUUUAAAUUGCCUCCACACAAGCCAUUCUUCAAGAAGCCGGCUCCACCUCAUAUCUUUCCUCCAAAGCCCUUUUUCAAGCCACUCCCUCCACCAGCUCCAGUCUAUAAGAUUCCUCCCUACAAAAAGGGUCAUCCACCGGUUCCGGUUGUGGAAGAAAAGCCAUUUCUGAAGAAGCCAAUUUUCCAUCCACUUCCAAAAUUCAAGAAGCCACUUCUUCCGCCAAUUCCAGUUUACAAGAAGCCACUUCCUCCGCCAAUUCCAGUUUACAAGAAGCCACUUCCUCCGCCAAUUCCAGUUUACAAGAAGCCACUUCCUCCACCAAUUCCAGUUUACAAGAAGCCGUUUCCCCAUCCAAUCUUCAAGAAGCCGAUUCCAAAAUUCAAGAAGCCAUUUCCUCCGCAUCCAUUCCUUGGGAAGCCAUUUCCUCCGCAUCCAUUCCUUGGGAAGCCGUUACCUCCCACUGUUCCCUAAACUAGACUAGCUACUUUUCCUUCCAAAUAAGAGAUGAGUAGCAUAUAAAUAGCUAUAGAAUAAAGUCCUACAUGGAGAGAGAAAUGAGGUUGUUGUAACUUUAUUAUCUUGAAAUUGUGGGUUGUGUUGUUGUACUUGUUUGAUUCUGCUGUUAUGCAGCUACCUUGUAUUACGACCUUUGCAUUUAUAAAUUACUGGAAAAAAAAAAAUUUCUUCACUCCAAAGAAUCAACUUCAGCCCUUCAAAAAUCCUUAUGAAUGAGAUCAUUAGGACAUUGAUAUCGAUAAAUUUUCAGGCCCAACAUGGUCAACAAUGUUCGUCUUAAUCACCUAUAUAUUAUAAAAGGCAUCGGUGAUAUUAUGUGGAAUUCUAUUCUCCAACAGAUAUUUCAUGAACUAAACUCGAAUAUGGCAAAUCAAAAGAACUAAAAACCUGCACAAAUUUUCAAAGAACCAUUAUAUAUAACACCAAAUUUUUAAUGGUGAGAGUGUAGAAACCUAUAAUUCUGGAAGGCAUUUUCUUGUUGUGCAAGAUUCGUUGAGACGGGUCAACAACCUAUACCGUCCCAAAACUUGCAUCUUAAUUAUUAAGACAUGUUGAGUAUUAUUGCAAAAGACCUUGAUAUGAUUAGGAAUGGAACUAUUUAUAUUGUAAUUUGUUUGAUCAAUUCUUGUACUGUUCAACAAUAAGAAAUUCCGCUUCAUGCUUAUUAAAAUUCUUUCUGCACUGCUCAAGCAUUUGAGACACCUUUAAACACAGGUGCAAGCUUGAGUGUCUGGUGCAAUGUAUACAAAAUAAUCUAAAUUAUCAUCUACUAUUAAACUGGAAUCCACCAAGAAUUAAGAAAACCUCAAAAUUUAUAAUUGAGUAAUAAUACGAAUGAUUACAACCAUAGCACCUUAUAUGGACUUUCUAGGAGUACGAAUAGGAAAUGAAUUAAACAAAUAAUAAAAGCUUAAAUCCCGUUUUGUGUUAGUAAUUUGAUAAAAAAUGCCCAUACGUCAGGGCAAAGCGCUCAGUGUUGUUUGCCUCACCGUUCAAAACGAUUGAUCUUGAGCACAAAUCAGAUAUUGGAGUCCAAAUCUACGAUGCUCGAGACUUGAUGCUGAUUUUAUGCCUUUCCUACUGUUCUUCAAUCUUUUUGGUCAUAUUUUCAUAACAAUAUUAUUGUCUUGUUACUUGUAAGAUAUUGUAAGGGCAUCUUACCUUUUUUUUACCCAAUUUCUUUACCAGGGAAAAGAUUAAAUUGGAAUACAAUCAAUUUUCAAAUGAAAUUUGUCAAGAUUGGACCCCAUAACAUUAUUAUUUCUCAACUAAAUGGUGUAUAAUAGCAAUCAUAUGUUACUUUACAUUCCUCAACUGGCAUUUAUGCCACCGAUUUUUCUGUUCCCAGACAAGCACAUGUGACAUGCCCUUGAACAUUUGGGAGAGCAACACUUUGAAAGCUUAGAGUUAUUAAUGCAGUUCAACAUUAAUUAGUACUCUACUAAACGCUUCACGGGGACCAAACUUCGAAGUUGAUCGUAUAAGUCAAAAGUACAACUUUAAUGUACUAAAAUGACUUCCUACUGACAUUCUCAUGCUUACCAUUUAACCAAAAGUAAAAGACAUUCUCAUGAUCACCUGUCAAACUAUAUACAAAUAUACAUUUCAAGGAUGUGUAUUUCACAUACGCUACACUACAAUACGUUCUUCAGCGGUAAUAUAUUCGUCGUUAAAUGAUAUUUCUCGCUAAAUUAUCAUUUUGUAGUAGCGGCAACAUGUUAUGCAUAAGUAAUUUUCUCUAUCUAAUUCAAGUAAAAAACUCAUUCUUGUGUUUGGAAAAAUGAAUAAACGGUUACAACAAACAACAACAACAACAAAGCCUUUUCCCACUAAGUGGGGUCGGCUAUAUGAAUCCUAGAACGCCAUUGCGCUCGGUUUUGUGUCAUGUCCUCCGUUAGAUCCAAGUACUCAAGUCUUUUCCUAGGGUCUAUUCCAAAGUUUUCCUGGGUCUUCCUCAAUCCCUUCGGCCCUGAACCUCUGUCCCGUAAUCACAUUUUCGAACCGGAGCGCCAGUAGGCCUUCUUUGCACAUGUCUAAACCACCGGAACCGAUUUUCUCUCAUAUUUCCUUCAAUUUUGGCUACUCCUACUUUACCUCGGAUAUCCUCAUUCUCAAUCUUAUCCUUUCUCGUGUGCCCAUACAUCCCACGAAGCAUCCUCAUCUCCGCUACACCCAUUUUGUGUACGUGUUGAUGCUUCACCGCCCAACAUUCUGUGCCAUACAACAUCGCGGCCUUAUUGCCGUCCUAUAAAAAUUUCCCUUGAGCUUCAGUGGCCUACGACGGUCACACAAACACGCCGGAUGCACUCUUACACUUCAUCCAUCCAGCUUGUAUUCUAUGGUUGAGAUCUCCAUCUAAGUUCUCCGUUCUCUUGCAAGAUAGAUCCUAGGUAGCGAAAACGGUCACUUUUUGUGAUCUUCGCUAGAUUGCUCCGGUCAUUAGUGUGGAUAAGUAUAUAAAAUGGAUAGAGAUAGGAAAGCAAACACAAGAUGUACGUGGUUCACCCAGAUUGGCUACGUCCACGGAAUAGAAGAGUUCUCAUUAAUUGUGAAGGGUUUACACAAGUACAUAGGUUCAAGCUCUCCUUUAGUGAGUACAAGUGAAUGAUUUAGUACAAAUGACAUUAGGAAAUAUUGUGGGAGAAUGAUCUCGUAACCACGAAACUUCUAAGUACCGGAGUGUGGUAUCGUCUUGACUUGCCUUAUCUGUCUCAUAGGUAGAUGUGGCAUCUUCUCUGGAAGUACUCUUCCUCCAUCCAGGGGUGGUAUCUGUAACUGGUGGAGAUGCACAAGGUAAUGUAUCAAUUUCACUUGAAGCUUACUUGUAGUUUCAGGCUUGGUCAAGCGCGAUACAAACCAUGUAGUAGGAGUCCCCCAAGUCGCCGAGCUAGGGGAUCUGCUGAAAGAGGUGACAGACAAGGUAAGCAAUCAGAGCUCCGGCUGAUUGUUCACAUUUCUCCCUAUCUUGCAGGCAGCAUGAAGGAUAAAGAGAAGAAAAAUGAGAAGAUGAAAGAGAUGAUAUGGGAUACUUUUGCUUUUGAAGAAGUAACUUUCCACAGGCUUAUUCUUGAACUGGGCUGGAGGGUUUUCUGGUUUCCUCCAGAGUAUAAGGCCGACUGAAGAAUUUGAGGGUCAAAACAAGUCCAUCAAAUCUAGAGUACGUUCGACCCUGCUGAUGAUAUGGGAUACUUUUGCUUUUGACAGAGUAGUGGAUGUAUCGGCACGUGUGCUGUUACGCUUGUCUCCACAUGCUUCCUUGUAUCCUUCUCACUUGCCCUAUCUGUUCCUCAGGCAGAUGCGAUGCGGUAUCUUCCCUGGAAGCAUAAGAUGUUGAAGAUGAGUACUCGAGAGCAAUGCCAGGUAAGUAAUCAGGUAAGGGGUUCCAGGCAGUCAGUUCCUGGCUGGAAGCUUGAUUCCAAGUGCUGACUGAUUGCUCUCUUUCUCCUUGUCUUGCAGGUAAGAACAAGGCCAAAGGAAAAGACAGGGAAAAAAGCAUGAUAUGGGAUACUCUUGCUUUUAACCCUGAUGAUAUGAGAUAUUCUUGCUCUAGUAUAGCUUGUUUACAGAGGUAUUAUCGGGGGGAAAGAAAGCUGAAUAUUUCGAAAGGCUUCGUUGGGAGUGCCCUCUCAGAUAUGAGGAAGGGUUGAGCAUUUUUGCAGGUCUGCCUGUCCGUUGGGGAUGGAGGUCGACAUAUAUAGGAGUCUCCCUAACAUCAAGUAAUAAUGCUAUUCCUUUACCCUGCUUGGUCAUAGCACGGUAGUGGGAGCUGCCAGCUUCACAUGUUUUAACUCUGUCAGAGCACUUUGAAAAAGUGGUCUGUGGUAUCUGGAAAGCUGAUGUUGCGUGUGAAGAUUACAGACAAGCUUUAUCCAAGGAGAUCCAGCUCUUGAAGUUGGGAAAGUGGUGCCUCUUCGGUUUUUGAACAAGCAAUCCUGUCGGGGAUCUGGCUCUCGAGAUUCGGAGAACGAUGCCUCUUCGAUUUUUGAGAAAGCAAUCUUGCUGGGGGUCUGGCUCUCGAGAUUCGGAGAGCGGUGUCUCUUCGAUUUUUGAGAAAGUAAUCAUGUUGGGAGUCUGGCUCUCGAGAUUCGGAGGGCGGUGCCUCUUCGAUUUUGGAGCAAGCAAUCUUGUUGGGAGUGUUUUCUCGAAUGUGAGUAAAGGUUGGGCAUGUUUGCUAGUCUACCUUGCCACGAAGCACAGAGGUUGACACACACAGGGACUUUCCAAUUAUCCAGCAGUGGUACUGUUCCUUUACCCUCUCUUCGAUUUUUUAGAAAGUAAUCAUGUUGGGAGUCUGGCUCUCGAGAUUCGGAGGACGGUGCCUCUUCGAUUUUGGAGCAAGCAAUCUUGUUUGGGAGUGUUUUCUCGAAUGUGAGUAAAGGUUGGGCAUGUUUGCUAGUCUACGGUUGAGGUUGACACACAGGGACUUUCCAAUUAUCCAGCAGUGGUACUGUUCCUUUACCCUUGUGGGUAAUAAUAUGGUAGCUAGACCUUCAAAAUUUAUGUGUCUAAACUUUGUUAGUGUUGUUUUUCUUUGCUAUUCUUUUUACCCUUCUUGGUCAGAGCGAUGUAGUGGGAGCUGCAAGCUUCACGUGUCUCAACUUUGUCAGAGAACUUUGGCAAAGUUAUCUGUGGUACCCAUGAGCUACUGUUGCGUGUGGGAAGUGGGUGAUUGAACAGUAAGAUUCAUGUGCUUUCUACUUCGCCAGAAAUCUUCGACAGAAUGCCCAUAAUUUCCGCAAAGCUGAGUGUGCGUGUGACAGGUGCUGACAAGGCUGGAAAAGUAGGUGCCUCUUCGAUUUCUGAGAUCGGCCCUCGUGGUCUCUGAGCAGCCCAGCUUUUGAGAAAGCAAGCCUCUUCGAUUUCUGAGAUCGGCCUUCGUGGUCUUUGAGCAGCCCAGCUUUUGAGAAAGCAAACGCCUCUUCGAUUUCUGAGAUCGACCCUCGUGGUCUCUGAGCAGCCCAGCUUUUGAGAAAGCAAACGCCUCUUCGAUUUCUGAGCAGGCGCCUCUUCGAUUUCUGAAGCUUCGUCGAGUGCAGAUUUUUAUAGGGGCUGACAUUAAGUUCCAAAGCACACUUGAAUAUCCACCAGUAGAAGCUCCAUUCUUGCACUUCUAAGAUCUUGAUUUGUCCGACCUCUUCUCUCUUUCAACACCUUUGAAAAUGUCUGGCCCCUCCGACCGUCGUUUUGACUUGAACCUUGUUGAAGAGGCAGCCCCGCCUUCUCCAGACAACAUAUGGCGCCCAUCCUUCGUCUCCCCUACUGGUCCUCUUACCGUUGGGGAUUCCGUGAUGAAGAAUGAUAUGACCGCUGCGGUAGGUGGCCAGGAACCUUCUCACUCCCAAAGAUAACAGACUACUUUCCAAACGGUCUGAUGAGUUGGCUGUUAAGGAUUCUCUGGCUCUCAGUGUUCAGUGUGCAGGUUCUGUGUCUAAUAUGGCCCAACGCCUAUUUGCUCGAACCCGCCAAGUUGAAUCAUUGGCGGCUGAAGUGAUGAGUCUCAAACAGGAGAUUAGAGGGCUCAAGCAUGAGAAUAAACAGUUGCACCGCUCGCACAUGACUAUGCUACAAACAUGAAGAGGAAGCUUGACCAGAUGAAGGAAUCUGAUGGUCAGGUUUUACUUGAUCAUCAGAGAUUUGUGGGUUUGUUCCAAAGGCAUUUAUUGCCUUCGUCUUCUGGGGCUGUGUACCGCGUAAUGAAGCUCCAAAUGAUCAACCUCUGAUGCCUCCUCCUUCUAGGGUUCUGUCCAGUACUGAGGCUCCGAAUGAUCCCCCUCCGGUGCCUUCUCUUUCUGGGGCUCUACCGACUGCUGAGACUUCUCCUAAGCAACCUUUGUGAAGGCUCCCUCUUGUUUGUUUAUUUUGACUCAAGUAUAUGUACAUAUUUGUAACUUAUCGGGGAUAUCAAUAAAUAAGCUUUCCUUCAUUUCAACGUAUUGUGUUUAAAUACACCAAAGCCUUCUUCGCUAAGUUCUUUGAAUUUUCUUUUGUUGAAGCUUGUAUGUUGAAGCUUUGUGAGUGGAGCAUGUAGGUUGAGGUAGUGUUCCCUUAAUUUCCCGAGUGAGGAAAACUUCUCGGUUGGAGACUUGGAAAAUCCAAGUCACUGAGUGGGAUCGGCUAUAUGAAUCUUAGAACGCCAUUGUGUUCUGUCCUGUGUCAUGUCCUCCGUUAGAUCCAAGUACUCUAAGUCUUUUCUUAGGGUCUCUUCCAAAGUUUUCCUAGGUCUUCCUCUACCCCUUCGGCCCUGAACCUCUGUCCCAUAGUCGCAUCUUCUAAUCGGAGCGUCAGUAGGCCUUCUUUGCACAUGUCCAAACCACCGUAACCGAUUUUCUCUCAUCUUUCCUUCAAUUUCGGCUACUCCUACUUUACCCCGGAUAUCCUCAUUCCUAAUCUUAUCCUUUCUCGUGUGCCCACACAUCCAACAACGAAGCAUCCUCAUCUCCCGCUACACCCAUUUUGUGUACGUGUUGAUGCUUCACCGCCCAACAUUCUGUGCCAUACAGCAUCGCCGGCCUUAUUGCCGUCCUAUAAAAUUUUCCCUUGAGCUUCAGUGGCAUACGGCGGUCACACAACACGCCGGAUGCACUCUUCCACUUCAUCCAUCCAGCUUGUAUUCUAUGGUUGAGAUCUCCAUCUAAUUCUCCGUUCUUUUGCAAGAUAGAUCCUAGGUAACGAAAACGGUCGCUCUUUGGUAUUUCUUGAUCUCCGAUCCUCACCCCUAACUCGUUUUGGCCUCCAUUUGCACUGAACUUGCACUCCAUAUAUUCUGUCUUUGAUCGGCUUAGGCGAAGACCUUUAGAUUCCAACACUUCUCUCCAAAGGUUAAGCUUUGCAUUUACCCCUUCCUGAGUUUCAUCUAUCAACACUAUAUAUCGUCUGCGAAAAGCAUACACCAAGGAAUAUCAUCUUGAAUAUGUCCUGUUAACUCAUCCAUUACCAACGCAAAAAGGUAAGGACUUAAGGAUGAGCCUUGAUGUAAUCCUACAGUUAUGGGAAAGCUUUCGGUUUGUCCUUCAUGAGUUCUUACGGCAGUCUUUGCUCCUUCAUACAUAUCCUGUUAUAGCUUGGAUAUAUGCUACUCGUACUCCUUUCUUCUCUAAAAUCCUCCAAAGAAUGUCUCUUGGGACCCUAUCAUACGCUUUUUCCAAAUCUAUAAAGACCAUGUGUAAAUCCUUUUUCCCAUCUCUAUAUCUUUCCAUCAAUCUUCGUAAGAGAUAGAUUGCCUCCAUGGUUGAGCGCCCUGGCAUGAACCCGAAUUGGUUGUCCGAAACCCGUGUCUCUUGCCUCAAUCUAUGCUCAAUGACUCUCUCCCAGAGCUUCAUUGUAUGACUCAUUAGCUUAAUACCCCUAUAGUUCAUGCAAUUUUGUACGUCGCCCUUAUUCUUGUAGAUAGGCACCAAAGUGCUCGUUCGCCACUCAUUUGGCAUUUUCUUCUUCGUUUUCAAAAUCCUAUUGAAAAGGUCAGUGAGCCAUGUUAUACCUGUCUCUCCCAAAACUUUCCACACUUCGAUUGGUAUAUAUCGUCUGGGCCUACUGCUUUUCUAUGCUUCAUCUUCUUCAAAGCUACAACCACUUCUUCCUUCCGGAUUCUACGAUAAAAAGAGUAGUUUCUACACUCUUCUGAGUUACUCAACUCCCCUAAAGAAGCACUCCUUUCAUGUCCUUCAUUGAAAAGAUUAUGAAAAUAACCUUUCCAUCUGUCUUUAACCGCGUUCUCUGUAGCAAGAACCUUUCCAUCCUCAUCCUUGAUGCACCUCACUUGGUUUAGGUCCCUUGUCUUCUUUUCCCUUGCUCUAGCUAGUUUAUAGAUAUCCAACUCUCCUUCUUUGGUAUCUAGUCGCUUAUACAUAUCGUCAUAAGCCGCUAACUUAGCUUCUCUCACAGCUUUCUUCGCCUCUUGCUUCGCUUUUCUAUACCUUUCACCAUUUUCAUCGGUCCUAUCCUUGUAUAAGGCUUUACAACAUUCCUUCUUAGCCUUCACCUUUGUUUGUACCUCCUCAUUCCACCACCAAGAUUCCUUUUGGUGUGGGGCAAAGCCCUUGGACUCUCCUAAUACCUCUUUUGCUACUUUUCGGAUACAACUAGCCAUGGAAUCCCACAUUUGGUUAGCUUCCCCCUCUCUAUCCCACACACACUGGGUGAUUACUUUCUCUUUGAAAAUGGCUUGUUUUUCUUCUUUUAGAUUCCACCAUCUAGUCCUUGGGCACUUCCAAGUCUUGUUCUUUUUUUCUCACUCUUUUGAUAUGUACAUCCAUCACCAACAAGCGAUGUUGAUUAGCCACGCUCUCUCCUGGUAUAACUUUGCAAUCCUUACAAGUUAUACGAUCCCCUUUCCUCAUUAGAAGAAAAUCUAUUUGUGUUUUUGACGACCCACUCUUGUAGGUGAUCACAUGUUCUUCUCUCUUCUUAAAGAAAGGUGUUGGCUAAGAAGAGAUCAUAUGCCAUUGCAAAAUCCAAGAUAGCUUCCCCAUCCUCGUUUCUCUCCCCAAAACCAUGGCCACCAUGAAAACCUCCAUAGUUGCCUGUCUCCCUGCCCACGUGUCCAUUUAAAUCUCCUCCUAUAAAUAACUUCUCCGUCUGAGCAAUUCCUUGCACCAAGUCUCCAAGGUCUUUCCCAAAAUUUCUCCUUCGAACUCGUAUCCAACCCUACUUGAGGUGCGUACGCACUAAUCACAUUGAUAAGUUCUUGUCCUAUUACAAUCUUGAUUGCCAUGAUUCUAUCUCCUACCCUCUUGACAUCUACAACAUCUUGUGUCAAGGUCUUGUCCACGAUGAUGCCAACCAACCGUUUCACCGUUUCUCGUUCUAUUUGUGCCCGAAUACCAUAAGUUUAAACCCUGAGUUUUCUAGAUCCUUUGCCUUACGACCAACCCACUUAGUUUCUUGUAGGCACAUAAUAUUUAUCCUUCUCCUCACCAUAACUUCUCACUACUUCCAUAGAUUUUCCCGUUAAGGUUCCUAUAUUCCACGUUCCUAAACGCAUUUUGCUCUCUUGAACUCUACCCUUCUGUCCUAGCUUCUUCACCCUUCCCCCGUCUAAUAGGAUCAAAGUACUUCUUUUGUGUGUCCCGUGUAAAGUUGAUAGGAGCAUAUGCUCCCAAACAACUUUGAGUGGAGUCGUUCGAAAAGAAGUUUCUAUAGCCCCCUUGCUCAUUUAACACUGCAUCCGGGUGCCGAUGGAGAUACAGCGACCCUUGCUCACUUAUCACUGUGCUCAGGCCACACAGCGCGCCACUUACGGGUGACGCCCUAGCUUUAGCGCGAUUUCGUUCUGGAUUCAUUUUCAUAAAGAUUCGACGUGAUCAUGGAGUGCCGGCUGUCGACUACCUGACGCCCUCCCCCUCCUCCUUUAUCCGGGCUUGGGACCGGCAAUGUAAGAUAAACUUACACGGCGGAGUUGAAAAAUGAAUAAACGGUUAUGUACAAAAAAAAAAAAAAAAAAAAAAUGUCGAACUAUGUUUCUAAGAAUUUUAUUUACAAAUUAAUUCAUGAAAAAGAAAAGACUUUUUAGCCAUAAUGGUUCCUGCGAUUUGCAUAAUAAUAGAACCCUUGUUCUAACCUUUACUUAUAUGCUGAUAAUUCCUCUUGUAUUACUUACAAACUUCUGUUACAAAUCAUAACCUUGCAUUUGCACAAAUAUCCAGUAUUAUACCAGAUUGCAAGCUAAGGUAGUUACACGACAUUUUCCCAACUAAUCAUCAACUAACAACCACAACAUUCAACCAAUGAUUCUAAGACACUUGUUAGCUAACAAUAUCAUCAUAUCCCAACCUUGUACAAAUAUCACCAACAAUAUCCUAUCACAUAACAUAUCACUUUGGUCCCUGAGAUUGAAAAUCAAUAGAAAUGGUCCCUGAGAUUGUUCACCAUCCAUUAUUUUGGUCCUUCCGUCAAAAACUCUGUUAAUUGUCCCAGAGCUCUUGGCCGGAAGUUUGGGCAAUUUUCAAAGCUUCGUAACUCAAUCGUUUCUUAACCAAAUUCAACCCAUAUUGUAUCAAAAUGAAGAUAGGAAAGUGCAGAAAAAGAUUAUACCUAUUUGGAAGCCCAAUGGUUGCCAGAGAUGGUUGAAAAAUAGCUUGAAAUGUGACUGGUCCGGGGGAAAACUAAAAAACUUGCCAGAAACUAGGUAAAUUUUAAACGUUCAUAACUUCUUCAAUACUCAACGAAAUUGAGUGAUUCAAAAAUAAAAAUCAUACUUCUCAAUGAGACAAUGAAGAGAAUGGUAUCUUUCUCGAUGGCUAAUUUGCCGCAGUUUGACUGAAAACAGCUCGAAAGUGGUUAACUCGAGACAAAGACAGCCACUUUUAAGCUGUUUUUCAGCCAAAUCACGAUGAUUUAGCCAUUUCUAAUGGUACCAUUCUCUUCCUCGCGUCAAGAGUAUGAUUUUCAUUUUUGAAUCACUUGAUUUCGUUAAGUAUUGAAGAAGUUAUGAACGUUUAAAAUUUACCCAAUUUCCGGCGAGUGUUCCAGUUUUUCGGCAGACUAGUCAUAUUUCAGGCUAUUUUCUGGUCACCUCCAGCAACCAUUGGGCUUCCAAAUUGGUAUAAUCUUGUUCUACACUUUCCUAUCUUCAUUUUGAUAUAUUAUGGAUCGAAUUUGGUUAAGAAACAAUUGAGUUAUAAAGCUUUGAAAAUUGCCCAAACUUUUGGCUAAGAGCUCCGGGACACUUAACGGAGUUUUUAACAGAAUAACCAAAAUAAUGGAUGUUGGACAAUCUUAGGGACCACUUCUAUUGAUUUUCAAUCUCAAUGACCAAAGUGAUAUGUUAUGCAAAUCUCAGGGACUAUUUUGGCUAAAAAGCCAAAAGAAAAAUAGUGCACCAAAUGAAUCAUCAGACAGAAGAUACGUCUGACAGUACUAGCAUGACUCGAUCUACUAAUACAAGACUAUCUGAACAGUGCAAAUUAAAACAUAAUGUCUUUUAUUGCUUUUACUUGUGACUCAAGGUACAGAUUAUUCAAGUGUAACAAAUAAUUGAUGGCAUCAUAAAUGUUGCUGCUAAGCCUGCUAUGCCAUGGAAGAUUCGAUGUUAUCAGAAUAAGUUCUGUAUACGUUUACAACUAACAAUGUACCGCAGACCAUUCUGAACGCAGCUAUAUAUAUGGGUUUCUGUCUCUAGGCCUUGCUAUAUGUGUCAAUGCCUUGCACUGCAAGACGUGGUGAUGAAAUAUUGAAAAAGUAAUUAGACCUGAUUCUCCACAUCAAAAAAAGACGAGUACUGGGGGAGCUUGAGUUUAUAAUGACGAAGAAUAACUAAAGGCGGCGUGUGGCUUGACCCUGAUUCCAUGCAAUUCAAAGGACGCAAACAAGGGGGGCAAUAAGCAGUGCUAGCAUUCUCACAGUUAAACUCCACCUGAUUGCACUUCUCAUCAAGUUCAUCAAAUUCCUUGGCAUUCUGAAGGGAAGUGUCAAUUCAAUUAAGUUCAAAAUUUGGACAACAUCAAGCACCAUAAAAAAGCAAUCAUCCGUAGUUACUACAACAAAUGCACCCUAGGAAAUGCUUACACGACUUUAUUCAAAGCUAGUUAACAGAUUGUUUCAAGGAACAUGCUAUAAUGUUCAAGUGUUGUUUCCCUCACAACAAUCCAGUGAAUAUACAAAAACAAUUUUAGCAAUAUACCUGAAUAGAUAAAAGGUGGAAUGCAGGAAGAAAACGCAUCUUGCAGUAAUCAUUAAACAUCAAUGUCAGCACUAGAAGUGGAAUUGUGGAAAAGGAUGCGGCCGGCUUUGAUUUCAGUCCAUAGAGACCAAUCAUAGUUAUUUGCAUGAGAAUGAUUGCAACGAGAAUAUAAUGAUUGAUGUAAGGCCAAUACUGUCCACACGUAUCAUAAACAGUCUCAUAAACAUUUUCAAUCUGCAAAAGAACCGAAGUUUAUAACACAUACAGUUGAUAUCAAAGUGCACAAAAUGCUCAGCUCUGGUGAAAAAUAAAUUUUAGCAAUUGUCUUUAAAGAUAGAGAUACUAAUUAGUAAUUUAUAACAUUUUAUAAUUGAACACAAGCAUCUAACUCCCGGGGCAGACCUCAACCCAAAGGCGCAAGACGGACUGCCUGUUUUGAUGACCCAUGUUCCCCUUCUCGCCUCAGAUUCCAGAGAAAGUCUACUUUAAGGUUGAUAGGUUAUUGUUGGCCCACGCCCUAACUUAAACUUUUGCCACCGGUUGAUUUCUAUGAGCUACAACAAAUAACGGUUUCAGCAGCUACUAAAUGAAAGUAUUGAAAAGCUUGAAGCCAAUGAAUAUUCUGGGAUCAGAACUUUAAGUUGCAUCUAAAUGCAAAAAUGUUUCUAAGAUAAUUACUUGACACCCUAUAUACGUAUUAUUCUCAACCGCUUUUUGAAAAAAUGAAAGUCUUGAUCUCUAUGCUUCUCCUUAAUUUUGUUUAGCUUAUGAAUGUUAAUUGUGUUCGCGGCAGGAAUUCCCGUCGGGGGUGUUUCCUGGCCGACGAGCACACAGCUCCCCUGGAGGUUCGGCGUCGGUUGAGGGCUACUGUCGGGUUUCUGCUUUCUUGUCGGGCUUUGUCGGGCAAGUCUCGUCGGGCAAGACUCGUCGGGCAAAACUCUUCGGGCAAGGCGGAAAGAGAAGGACAGCGUUAACUUUGAGAGGUGCCUUUGUGGGGCCUUAGGUGUAGGCCUUGAGGCUCACAAUCAAGGUUAACAUUUUGGUGCUCAGGCGUGCCACUGCCAUCUUCAUUAUGGCAGAUGUCGAAUAGAUGCCAAGUUUUAGUUGUGAAUAUGCAUAUGCCCGAGAAACCGUGUUAGAUAUAACAGGUGCCUUUGUGGGGCCUUAGGUAUAGGCCUUGAGGCUUCCUGUCAAACUAAACCAAUGCUUGAGCAUAUUAUAUUUGGUCUUUAUGGUUGUCGGGGUCUUAUAACUAUUAUAUUUCUGAUUAUCCGAGUCUGAGAGGUAGAGCGAACCCAAAUAGGUGCCUUUGUGGGGCCUUAGGUGUAGGCCUUGAGGCUUCCCAUUAGAGUCCGUUCUUACUCAAACCAUCUAGACCGCAGAAUAGAAUAAAUCCAAAUAAGUGCCUUUGUGGGGCCUUAGGUAUAGGCCUUGAGGCUUCCUAUCAUAAUCCAUUCUAUACUUAAGCGUUCUAUAAUAAUCAUGAUAUAAUAGAAAUAAAACCAAGAGGUAGGUCGAUUACUUGCGCCCCAAGUAACUUCGGACUUCUCGUUUAUCAAGGAUUGUCGUGGAUGGGUUAAGUCCACAUAAAGUUCUUUUUUAUGCCUUGAGGCCAAGGACUUUUAAACUAAUCAGAUUUACAUGCCUGAGGGCUUAGGACUUGGAUUGGAUUUAAACACUGAAGAUAUAUUCAAAUCGGAUCCAAGUACUGAGAACGCUUUGUCAUUGUGAUUUUACUAGAAACAACUUGCAUAUAACUGGAAAUAUACAACAUAUUGCUAGACUUUAAAGAAAGAGAAGACAAAGACAGAGCAAAGCAGGUCGGGCAAGAUUAAACCUUAUCAAUUAAGGCUGAUCGUCUUGCAGGUCCCUAUCUUUGUAGUUCUGUCAAAGGUCUGAAAGCUUAGAGGGGGAGAGGGGAAAGGAGAAUACAAAGGGUGAAUCGAUACUACAACUUGUUCGAAACAAGGUAGCAGAGCUAUUACAGGGGUUGGGAGAAAAGAUUAUCCCGCGGGGGAUGAAGGCUUGGGCUGACUACAGCUUCGUUUUGAAAGGAAAAUCUGGCUUUUUGAGCAGAGUUUGUGCUUUUGUUUGUUUGAUUGAGUGUCCUUAUUCCUGUCUUCUCUUCCUCCUUUUAUAGACGACUCGGUUUGGCUCCUGUAGCGACAGCUUUGCCCGAAUGCGGUCUGAGGGUGAUGACUCAUCAGCUUUAUUACAUGUAAUGCCACCAUAAAGUACUUUAUGGGCUGUGCAGUCUGAUCAGUCUACACCACUUAGCCUUGGUUAGGUAGGCAAGUGGCCCUUAUGAAUUGUAUCAAGUCAGAAAGGGCCCUUUCCUGCUUUCCCAAGUUUUGGCCGGGCCUUGAUCUUCUAUUCCUUUAGGCCUCCUUUUGGGCCGACUCCAUCCGUGGGCCAAAAAUCAAGUUUUAAUCCAAACAAAUUGGGAGAAGAAAGAACAAAAGCACAACUACAAAAGGGACCAAAAGAAUGUGGAAGCCGUGAAUUUACAAGAACAGACAUUCAUAGGAACAAUAACAAUGACUUGAAUAAUAAAUGCAAAGUUGCCAAAGUUAACCUGGUUUAUAUACACCGCAUAGCCGAGCAAGAAGUAACCAAUCAAAAAUGGGAGCAUAAGUGGUGCCACAACGGCAUAUACUGUACCAAUCAGCACGGACAGCGAGACCACAGGAAUGAUUCUGAAGUAAGGUAAUGAAUAAAGAUAAGGAGUCUUCUCUUUUCCACGGCCAUAUGUACAGGACCUUAUAGCAUCCCAGCAAAGUAAUCCUGGUUGGAGGAUCUCCAAAGAAAACCCCGACAGCCCAUCUGUCAAAGUAUAUGUCACAAAGAAAUCUGCCUGAAACAUUAGAAAUCAAGCUUUAUUGACCAAAUCAGUAUUUUCAGAAUUAUUUAAAAACGAUAAGUUGAAAACAAUAAAGAAAAGAAAGUAUGCAACACAACAGAAAAUUAUCCAAGAGUCCACAACUAUUUAAAACUUAUACAAGGAAAAGAAAAAAGCAACACUGAACUAGCUUUGGAAAUUAUGAAGAGCGUGAAUUAAAACGAAACGUAAACAGAAUAUUACAAAAGUAUUAAGACCAACUCACUUGAGCAGAGACAGCUCUAGCAAAGUGAUUGGGGAUAUCUUUCGGAUGAGUAAAAGAUUCGCCAAUUUCAUCUAUUAAAGAGCCAGAUAACAAGCUCCAAAAGAAGACGUUUCCAACUAGGAAAUAUAAAACCAUGUUGCACGCUUUUAUCUCCUCCCUGCUCUUUGAGAUACAGCCUGAUAGUUUAGCCAUUCCGAGCAUUGUAAAUGGAACAAUGUAGAUAAACAAAUUCAGAACGGCACUCGGAAGAUACCCUGUUAUGACAGAGCUUAACCCUGAUCUGUACAUAUUAGCAUUAUCUAAGAUGUCAAUUCAUAAAAACUAUAACCAAAGCAGUACAAAGUUUGCUUAUAGAAGCUCUGAAUCCAGAACCAUGAAUAUUCAAUUCUCUAAUUUAUGGAACUGUUUAUCAUUCGGAUCUUUAUACUGGUCCUUUCAAUGUUUAAUUUAAUGUUCCAAAAGAUAUGAAUUAAUAGUCAGAUUGCUGGAUUAAUUGAGGCAUAUAUUCCACAAGUCAAAGAUUCAACAUGCACGCAUGAUAUUCAAGCAAAAAGAACGGCAAGAAAAUCUUACAUCAACUGUAAAGCCAUGGCAGGGGGAAACCAUUUCUUUAACUUUUUAAAUUUGGCAAUUCCCUGGACGGCAGUGACUGGGAUAGCAAAGAAAAUUGUAAGAAGGGAGGCUGCAACAAUAACUCCAAAAUUGCAGAGUGGCAAAACUCGGACUGGGAUUGCCAAAUUUCUCCAUGAUACAUCCCUGGGUUCUGAAGCAUCGUCAGUGAUCCAAAGAAGUGGAUUUGAGUGCUGCUGGGAGUGGAUAACUAGGGCUGCACCCAACCGAGACUUGAAUGUAACAAAAGCAACAGGCAACUCCUACAAAUAUAAAAAGCUCGGGAUGGUUUUUUUGCGUACUUAUGGAGUAUAGUUUGCUGAGUUAUUUGAUAGAACUUAAAUGUAUACAAUUCUGAGCUAUCAAUAUGGGAAGAUCUACAGAAAAUCAUGGACCGAAGAUCUCUUCCCUCUCGUCGUGAUCGAACAUCAAUUUGCCUAUUUACCUAAUCAUGAUUUUUUUUAGUCCUAUUUUUGCAGAUGAAUAAGACGGUGCUGAUUCUGAUGUAUUCUAUUUCUAUGACAUUGAGUCUACUUUUUUCUUUCGGAGAUGGUUGUUUGCCCUCUCAUCCCAUGCCCUUUCCAUCCCCUCCUAUUUUCUGUGAUCACGGUUAAGCCAUGUUAACAUUUUAUAUUGAUUUUUUUAUAGAAAUAAUAAAACAAAAAGUAAUGGGAAUAUAAAAUAUUAACGUGGCUUAACCGUGAUCACAAAAUAAGAGGGGAUGGGAAGAACAUGGGAUGGGGAGGGCAGACAAUCCAUCUCCUUUCUUUCACUUGACCAAACAUCUCACGACACGAGCUGACGACAGCUAUGCAGUAUGAAAGUAAGUACCAUCCCAUUAGGCUUAUACUGCUCGCCUUUGUUUAAUAUUUUCAUUCAACACCAAUACAAACUCCAACUACACAAAAAAGGAAGGCUCGCUAUAGAAGCUAAAAGUAGCUUCUAGUAGAGUAGUCGGCCGGUUGGACUUCUUUCGAUCUAGGCGUCUUAGCAGAGCCCUUUCCUAUUGAGGAAGGCGAAGAGUAGCCCAGCCGCACCCCCAAUACAUCCCCGCUAAUCCGGUCUCUUCCCAUGGGGAGGAAGCAGGUCCAUCUAGGAGGAGAUUCUGUUUGCUCGAUUGAGCGCCGCCUUUUGGCGAAAUUUGAUUUUCCCGAAGCUGAGGACAUCCAAUUUGCCUGUAUUAAGGCCCAAGAUUUUUUCGAGAUCAUGGUCGAAAUUGUCCAACAUAUGGCAGGCCUUGAUCUAGUGGGGGAUUGAAUGGGGUGCAGGGCUCGGGCCCUCUACAAUCCGCGUAAUGAAAAGGUCUAGCUGGGUUAGAUUCCCAUCUCCCUCUUGUUGCUUAGGCAACUUAAACCCUUAACAUAGUGAGGUGUGGAGCGAAAGGCCUAACUCCACAACUGUCAAUAUAUACUGCUGGUGAGGACUGAAGGGCGUCAAAGGGAUAUCCAUAUGACGUUGGAUACUAGGCCCAAGUUGUGGAGUACAGAGUCUCUAUCGACAUCAACAAAAGCCAAGUCAAAGGAAAGAGCAAUGCCCGCAUUAAAAAAAGGGAUUCAUCUCGUUUCUUCUCUAAACAAAUUGAAGAACCUAAUGGAUCGAAUGAAUGGAAGAAGCUUAUGUGCUACGUAGCUGAGGUCUACUUUAUAGUAGGCUCCAACUUAAUGAUUGCCCAAGAAUUAGACCAGAAGCGGUUUUGUUUACUUUUUCGUUGAAUAGGACACCCACCAUUUACGAGUACAAAGUAUAAUUGACAAGCGGGGAGGAAACAUUUCACUGCUAGCUACUAAGAACCUAACAGAACUCUUUUUUCAGAGAGUAACGAAAAAUAAGCAAUUAAUUAAUAAGGCCUAAGCCUCCUAAACAGCUCAUCCACUUGCUAUAAAUAACAAGGCCUGUGGAACUGAUAAAAAGCACCAAAACCAAAUGGUACGUUUGGAUUAAGCACUUUUGCACAGUUAGUAUAUCCAGUGGUAGCAUUAGAAAGGCUUAAUUCUCAAUGCAGAUUCGUGUUGCUUUUCAAGGGGCUCUUCUGGGUCUCUGGUUCUGCUUCUUUGCUGCAAGCUUCUGCUAUAGCAAUGGAGAGACCAUUGAGGUAACUGGUGAACAAGCAGCAGCCAAAGCUUUUUCAGGUAAUAUAUAUACUUAUAUAGUUUCCUUUUAAGAACCAAAGUACUCUAAAAUGACAACCAUUUAUUGAGUAGUUAAAUUGUGUCGGAUUUGCAUGGUUUUUUGCAACGUUGAUUUUUGAGAGAAGACCUUUAUACUAAACAGUUCAUAAUAUUGAUACAACGUUGAAUAGGGCCUUAGUUGAACCUCCCUAUACAUGCAUGCAUAUAUAAACAAAACAAUUUCAAAACUAAUCUUAGUUUCCUUUUCCAUUAUAUAAGACUCAUAUGUAAUCAUAGAUUAGUCUAAUGUGUGAUUAAGUAGUAGUUAUUUGAUGAUCAUUUUGUAUAUAUUCUUGGUUAUUAGUUAAUCAUAUAUAUUUGUUUUGCUCCUCAUACGUAAUAAUCUUAUGCACGUCUCUGUGUCUAUACUAUGUCCAUAAUGAAGAGUUGCAAAGAGCAGAAGCUGCAGAAGAGAAAUUUAAAUUGCCUCCACACAAGCCAUUCUUCAAGAAGCCGCCUCCACCUAAGAUCUUUCCUCCAAAGCCCUUUUUCAAGCCACUCCCUCCACCAGCUCCAGUCUAAAAGAUUCCUCCCUACAAAAAGGGUCCUCCACCGGUUCUGGUUGUGGAAGAAAAGCCAUUUCUGAAGAAGCCAAUUUUCCAUCCACUUCCAAAAUUCAAGAAGCCACUUCCUCCAC
This 18696-nucleotide long non-coding RNA is filed under the name Malus domestica (apple). RNAcentral's name for it is "long non-coding RNA (MDOM_LNC002215)". The record is from RNAcentral. Lineage: Eukaryota; Viridiplantae; Streptophyta; Magnoliopsida; Rosales; Rosaceae.